This 82-nucleotide transfer RNA is filed under the name bacterium. RNAcentral's name for it is "tRNA-Leu". It matches the Rfam family "tRNA". From Rfam's summary of the family: Transfer RNA (tRNA) molecules are approximately 80 nucleotides in length. Their secondary structure includes four short double-helical elements and three loops (D, anti-codon, and T loops). RNAcentral also lists the same sequence under 1 other name. The record is from RNAcentral.
GCCGAAGUGGCGGAAUUGGUAGACGCGCCAUCUUGAGGGGGUGGUGCCUUCGGGUGUGCGGGUUCGAGUCCCGCCUUCGGCA